CUGAAUUGUAAACAACAUCAUUGUUGAUAAGUUUGUGUGUGUGUUUGUGUGUGUGUGUGUUCUCACAAGGUUAAUUACUCUUCAUAUUUCUAUUAGAGCAGUGAGUAACAUUCCUAAUAUGCAUAUCUCCUAUAUUUUUUAAUAAUAAUAGUGGCUAACAUUUAUUUAUCCCCAUAUCCAUCAUUUCACUUAACACCGUCAGUAACCCGAGAGGGGAGGUGCCCUUGUUUCAUUUUACAGAUGGAGAAAACUGGCACGCUAUGAGAUUAAACACCUACCCAAGAUCACUUAGACUGCGAGUACCAGCAGUGAGUUUCUACUCCAGCUCUCUCUCCAAAACUUAAGAUUUAGAUCUCUUUCAUAAGUUGCAGAGUGUGAUUUAUUAUGGAUUAUGAAAAGUGUCCAUUACAGGCUCUUCCUGGGCCUGGAAGGGCUACCACCAUUCUUCAUUGGCUGAUGCUCCCAUGUGGCUCAGGGCUCCAGUUGCCUGCUCCAGGGAGCCUUCAAUGACUAUCCUUUAAUGCUCCCACCCACUCCUCAUGUGCAAAGGGUUUAAGCUUAUGAAACACCAAAGCCAAGAAUAAAGUUCUUUGACUGGAAUUUCUCCUUUCCUGUAACACCACCUACAAGAAACUUUUAAUUUGUGUGGGUUAAAGAAGCAUCUUUGAUGAAGUGGAAAAGAGACAGUAUAAUAAAGUUACAAAACACAGUGCAACUGCCACAGCUCAGAGAAAAACACCAGAUUGGGAAUCAGGAGACUGGCCCUGGGAGUAUGGAGGCCUUUGGAACUCGCUAGCAGGAGGAAUUUGGAAAGAUUUGGAGAUGCUGGCUGGAGAAGCAUCCCUGAAUACUGUAAGCUGAAUUUGGUGGGACAUUCUGGUUAGUGCUCAGAAGACCAGCAUGCUGACAGAAAUACAGCUGGUAAAGACCAGGAUCAGGAGGUUUCAGUUGGGAACAAGGAGUGCAUUGGCAGUUGGACUCUAGGCCAUGUGUGUUAUGCUUUGGCAGAAAAUGUGCCUACAUUUUGCUCGUGUCGUGAGACUUUGCCAGAGACUGAGAUUAAGCAUGGCUGACUAAUUAAUCUGGUGGAGGAAAUGUCAAGGCAGCCAAACACUCAGGCUGUAACUUGGGUACUAUUGGGGAUUUUAGCCAGCUCUAACUUGAGAAUCAAGAGCUAAAAGCACAGCUGAAUGAUUUUAAAAGUUUUGAGUUGGGCCAGAAAGGAAGCUCCUAUAAAGAUGGAGCCUGCAAAGAUGAAGUAGAUAAAAGCUUGAUUGCUAAAAAGAUUAGCAUUAAAAGAACCCAUGAAGGGGAAGUGAGAGGGGUAGGGGAAAGGAAAGAAGGGAAUGGAAUAAAUAUUUGAAAAGGAAAAAAUGGAAACAAAGUCUUUGUAAAUAGGGAGGGGUAGAGGGGGUUGAAGGGAGGGCAGAGGAAUGGGGAAAAAAAUGAGAACCAAGAUACAUCAUGUAAAGGUACAAAUAAUCCCAAUAAUGAAUGUCAGCAUAUUGUAUACCUAAAAUGUACCAAUAAAAUGAAUGAAUAAUAAAAAAGAAAGAACCCAUGAACUUGGGAUCUGGACAAUACAACGAUGCCUUGAAGGCAUGGGAAGAAUCUCAAAAAAAUCCACCCUUUGCAGGCUCAAAACUGCAAAGGUUAAAGAUAGUGCUUUGAAAAGAAAGCCCCAAAGCACUCUGUCGGAGAAGGACCACCUAGGCAAUUGAUUCCCCAUGAUUCAGUUUACUGCGCACAGCCAGCCAGCCAGGAACUUGGGAGGCCUCUGCAACCACCAGCAAGAUGCAAAAGGGCUCAUCUAUGACUCCAGAUGGCAGCAGACCUUGGCAUCAUCCACAUUCAGAAUGCAAGAGUUGUGGUGACAGGGAGGCUUCCACCCAGAUAUCAGAAGAAGGCCAGGGAGUCCAGGCAAUAAGCCCCUGAGAGGUCAGUGUG
Molecule: long non-coding RNA, 1947 nt
Organism: Heterocephalus glaber (naked mole-rat)
Lineage: Eukaryota; Metazoa; Chordata; Mammalia; Rodentia; Bathyergidae
Source: Ensembl